AUAGACAGGUGUGUGCCUUUCCAAAUCAUGUCCAAUCAAUUAGUAUUUACCACAGGUGGACUCCAAUCAAUGGAAACAGGAUGCACCUGAGCUCAAUUUCGAGUCUAAUAGCAGAGGGCUUGAAUACAUAUAAUUUUGAAUCCAAAAUAGGUGACCUACGUGAUUCAUGUAGAUCCGAUGAGAAACGUUUGGGGCCAAUCGUUCACAUAACAGAAUGCAGCACGCGACUGAAGAGAGACGAGACAACCAAUUUGCUAGUUACAGUAUCAGCGGAGAGUGGAAUGGCAGUUCCAGCUACAUCAGCGCGUCCCCUGGACAAUAAUGAGGAGGUAGGUGAGAAGCCUGACCACAGAGACGGGGGUGAGAAGCACUGCAGGAAUGGAGGUGUUUAAUAUGGCGGCCUCACCGCGGCUGGAACUCCCUGUGUGAGAGACAGAGAGCGGGAGAGAGCAACAGCUCGUUUGAAGUCUGCGACUGAGCCUCUCAUCAAACGGCAGUUCUGCAGCCGUCUCAGCCCGUUCCCUCACACACACACACACACACACACACACAACCCAAUUCCUCCUUUCACACUUUGCAUCCCACCUAGUUUUGAUCCCCUUCAUAGUUCAUACCACAGAUGACACAGUCACCGAUAAGCAACAUCAAACACUCCCAGAUGGUGGCCAUUUUGUUUUCUCCCCCAUAUCACUUUUCAGUCUCACUCCCAAACCUCGUUCACAGUGGGACAGUGAAAUAGUCAGUGGGACAGAGACUCCGACUCAUGUCUUUGUUACAGAAAUGUUUAUAUUGACUACUAAAUCCAUUUGUCCUAUGUAUGAGCUCCUAUAUGUCAAUCGUUCAGGACUUAUGUCUAUCUAAUUAGUCAUUAAACUAAACAUCUGUAUUGUCAUUGUAUUUAGACAGGCCUAGUUUAAACGUCUACUUACUCACAAA
This is a non-coding RNA of Oncorhynchus mykiss (rainbow trout), 936 nucleotides long. NCBI's taxonomy places the organism in Eukaryota, Metazoa, Chordata, Actinopteri, Salmoniformes, Salmonidae. The record is from RefSeq and is a predicted model, not a curated record.